AGAGAAGUAUGGAUUCGUAUUUUGUCAUGUGACUGAUCUGAACGCAAAACAAAGUAUUGUUUACACUGGAAGAGUAAUCACUGAAGUGGCUCAUUAAAAACAACUCUCCCAUUUCUAGAAACAUGAUACCAGGCCAUCUAUCAGAACUGGGGGCUGUUGCUGGGACUUUAGAGCCUCAGUCUCCCUGCCCUCCGAUGCCCGAGUUUUACUUUUCCUAUCCGAGAUGAAUGAUGCCCCGUGAACUGCAAAGCUACAAAAUGAGGAUAUGCGACGCAAACCUUGUACCCAGCAGAUGCUCCUGGAUUAAGCUUCUGUUGCAAGUAUCCCUUCAUUCCAAAAAGGGACAGGAAAAUAAACUGAUGGAAUGUGCAAUCUGCUCCUUGGUGCAGCUAAAUAUGUGUGUUACUAGUCUCCAGUGUUUUAAUGUAUAUAGUGGCAUAGGGAAAAUAGUUUUUGUUAUUGAUUAACUAUUGUUCAUCUCCAAUAUGAAUCACAUAAGAUAACAAACUCUCAAAAGACGGAGUACAAUGCAAUGAUGCAUUUUAUAUUGCCCAGCCAAGGCCAUACCAGUAUAACCUGAAUCUGUUUUCUCUAUGGCAGUGUUUUUUUUUUACUUCAAGCCCUCCUUGAAGGUUAAAGCUUUGCUUAGGACCCUCCUUGGCUAAUAACAAGGAUACAGACACAGAAAAUCAUAGUUGUAUUAAGCCACCCAACUGGUCUUUAAGCUCGGCUUUCAGGAGUAUAUAGAGAAUAUUCUGCCCAAAUCUCACUUUAAAGGGCAUGUAAAGUCUAAAAUAGAAUAAGGCUAGAAAUGCUGUAUUUUGUAUACUAAAUAUAAACAU
Long non-coding RNA from Xenopus laevis (African clawed frog), 842 nucleotides. RefSeq lists it as uncharacterized. The record is from RefSeq and is a predicted model, not a curated record. Lineage: Eukaryota; Metazoa; Chordata; Amphibia; Anura; Pipidae. The transcript has 3 exons.